Long non-coding RNA from Triticum aestivum (bread wheat), 318 nucleotides. RefSeq lists it as uncharacterized. Lineage: Eukaryota; Viridiplantae; Streptophyta; Magnoliopsida; Poales; Poaceae. The record is from RefSeq and is a predicted model, not a curated record. The transcript is spliced from 2 exons.
UGCAAGUGUUGCCCCCCUCCUCCCCAAGGGCAAGGUGAAGGAAGGUGCCUGUGUGGUUCUUCUGCAGUUCGCAACGAGGAUUGUUGUGUCCAACCUGCACAAGAAUGCCAAGAAGUCCUUCUCGGAGACGAUUAAGGACAUGUACCUGCACUACAACGAGAGAUCUGGGCUGCUUCUUUGUGGCUUCCAAACUUGAAAUGUUUGUUUGGAAGUUAGUUUAGUUUUUUGUUGUGGAUUCACAGCUUCUCACAUGUACCAUCCUCUUAGACCUUUAGAUUUCCAAAGAAACUAAAUGAAGAUAUGGUGGUAUGGUCUCAA